This 506-nucleotide ribosomal RNA is filed under the name uncultured bacterium. RNAcentral describes it as "bacterial SSU rRNA". It matches the Rfam family "Bacterial small subunit ribosomal RNA", at positions 9 to 526 of the family's 1533-position model. The record is from RNAcentral.
GAGUUUGAUCCUGGCUCAGGACGAACGCUGGCGGCGCGCCUAACACAUGCAAGUCGAACGGAGCUGAGAGGAGCUUGCUUUUCUUAGCUUAGUGGCGAACGGGUGAGUAACGCGUGAGUAACCUGCCCUGGAGUGGGGGACAACAGUUGGAAACGGCUGCUAAUACCGCAUAAGCCCACGAUCCGGCAUCGGAUUGAGGGAAAAGGAUUUAUUCGCUUCAGGAUGGACUCGCGUCCAAUUAGCUAGUUGGUGAGGUAACGGCCCACCAAGGCGACGAUUGGUAGCCGGACUGAGAGGUUGAACGGCCACAUUGGGACUGAGACACGGCCCAGACUCCUACGGGAGGCAGCAGUGGGGGAUAUUGCACAAUGGGGGAAACCCUGAUGCAGCGACGCCGCGUGGAGGAAGAAGGUUUUCGGAUUGUAAACUCCUGUCGUUAGGGACGAUAAUGACGGUACCUAACAAGAAAGCACCGGCUAACUACGUGCCAGCCGCCGCGGUAAUUC